RNAcentral lists this long non-coding RNA (738 nucleotides) under Daucus carota (carrot). Its description in RNAcentral is "long non-coding RNA (DCAR_LNC006770)". The record is from RNAcentral. Lineage: Eukaryota; Viridiplantae; Streptophyta; Magnoliopsida; Apiales; Apiaceae.
CAUGAAGUCUGUAAGACAACCAAACAACUCACAUUUAUUAGCUUUUCUCGAGCAUCUUGUAACUGGUAAUUGUUGUUCCUCUCCUUGACAAGUAGAGCUUGAUAUGAAUAUUGAAGACUUUCAAAAUCUUCAUCCUUCUCCUUCAGUUUUUCUUCCCUCUUCUACAAUUUUUCUUCCCUCUCCUUGAGUUUUUCUUCCAAGAACUCCAUCUUUUUCUUCAUUUCCAUAAUAUCCUCACCAUUAUUAUUUGGUCUCAUUACACCAAUAUAACCAGCAGCACCCCUAGCAUUAGCAGCCACAACACCUGCAUCACCAGCACCACGAAGCUGCACACCAUCACCCUGCGGUCCUCUUUCCAAGUUGUGCUCCAUUUUAAUCUGUGCAUGCCAUAACAUUAAGCUGGUACUUCACUAAUCCAGGUAAAAUUUAUAGUUAUAUAAUUGUAUAGUUAUGUUAACCAGUAUGAGAUAAAACCACUACUAGAAAAAGUGGAAUAGACAUCGCACUUCAUCAGUUAGAAUUGCCACUAUGUUAAAAAUGUUUUUAACAUCAUUUUCACUUAAACUGAUGAGUUAAAGUACUUUAGACAUCAGUUAUUUUGCAACUGAUGUGUAAGGUACGUGUUUAAAAAAAGUUUCCACCAUUCCCACCCCCAUUUCCCCUUUAUCAAAAAUUCCCCUCUCUUACAAAAUUUCAACUUCCAUCCCUUAAACAAAUUUCAUCUCCCUCUAAUAUUCA